RNAcentral lists this ribosomal RNA (549 nucleotides) under uncultured Lachnospiraceae bacterium. RNAcentral describes it as "bacterial SSU rRNA". It matches the Rfam family "Bacterial small subunit ribosomal RNA", at positions 133 to 700 of the family's 1533-position model. Lineage: Bacteria; Bacillati; Bacillota; Clostridia; Lachnospirales; Lachnospiraceae. The record is from RNAcentral.
AUGGAGGGGGAUAACAGAGAGAAAUCACUGCUAAUACCGCAUAAGCACACAUUGCCGCAUGGCAGAGUGUGAAAAGAUUUAUCGCCAUAAGAUGGACCCGCGUGUGAUUAGCCAGUUGGCAGGGUAAAAGCCUACCAAAGCAACGAUCAGUAGCCGAUCUGAGAGGAUGACCGGCCACAUUGGGACUGAGACACGGCGCAAACUCCUACGGGAGGCAAGCAGUGGGGAAUAUUGCACAAUGGGGGAAACCCUGAUGCAGCGACGCCGCGUGAGUGAAGAAGUAUAUCGGUAUGUAAAGCUCUAUCAGCAGGGAAGAUAAUGACAGUACCUGACUAAGAAGCCCCGGCUGACUACGUGCCAGCAGCCGCGGUAAUACGUAGGGGGCAAGCGUUAUCCGGAUUUACUGGGUGUAAAGGGAGCGUAGACGGAAUGGCAAGUCUGAAGUGAAAACCCCGGGCUCAACCUGGGGACUGCUUUGGAAACUGUUGUUCUAGAGUGUUGGAGAGGUAAGUGGAUUCCUGGUGUAGCGGUGAAAUGCGUAGAUAUCAG